RNAcentral lists this ribosomal RNA (420 nucleotides) under uncultured bacterium. Its description in RNAcentral is "bacterial SSU rRNA". It matches the Rfam family "Bacterial small subunit ribosomal RNA", at positions 356 to 773 of the family's 1533-position model. The record is from RNAcentral.
GAGGAAUAUUGGUCAAUGGGCGCAAGCCUGAACCAGCCAUGCCGCGUGCAGGAUGACGGCGCUAUGCGUUGUAAACUGCUUUUGUACAGGAAGAAACCCAUUUACGUGUAAGUGGUUGACGGUACUGUCAGAAUAAGCAUCGGCUAACUCCGUGCCAGCAGCCGCGGUAAUACGGAGGAUGCAAGCGUUAUCCGGAUUCAUUGGGUUUAAAGGGUGCGUAGGCGGAAUACUAAGUCAGUAGUGAAAUCCUGCAGCUUAACUGUAGAACUGUUAUUGAUACUGGUAUUCUUGAAUGCAGUUGAGGUAGGCGGAAUGUGUAAUGUAGCGGUGAAAUGCUUAGAUAUUACACAGAACACCGAUUGCGAAGGCAGCUUACUAAACUGUGAUUGACGCUGAGGCACGAAAGCGUGGGGAGCAAAC